RNAcentral lists this ribosomal RNA (460 nucleotides) under uncultured bacterium. RNAcentral's name for it is "partial 16S ribosomal RNA". It matches the Rfam family "Bacterial small subunit ribosomal RNA", at positions 338 to 795 of the family's 1533-position model. The record is from RNAcentral.
CCUACGGGCGGCAGCAGUGAGGAAUAUUGGUCAAUGGGCGAGAGCCUGAACCAGCCAAGUAGCGUGAAGGAUGACUGCCCUAUGGGUUGUAAACUUCUUUUAUAUGGGAAUAAAAUGUGGCACGUGUGGGAUUUUGUAUGUACCAUAUGAAUAAGGAUCGGCUAACUCCGUGCCAGCAGCCGCGGUAAUACGGAGGAUCCGAGCGUUAUCCGGAUUUAUUGGGGUUAAAGGGAGCGUAGGUGGAUUGUUAAGUCAGUUGUGAAAGUUUGCGGCUCAACCGUAAAAUUGCAGUUGAAACUGGCAGUCUUGAGUACAGUAGAGGUAGGCGGAAUUCGUGGUGUAGCGGUGAAAUGCUUAGAGAUCACGAAGAACUCCGAUUGCGAAGGCAGCUCACUGGACUGCAACUGACACUGAGGCUCGAAAGUGUGGGUAUCAAACAGGAUUAGAUACCCUAGUAGUC